UUCAUUUUUUUUUUCCUGUUGCCAAAGGAGAACAAGGCUCCCUGUCACAGAUCGUGACUCGCCCCCGUACGCCUCACUUCUCCCUUUUUUGAGGCACAACCUCAUUUUCUCCUUCCCUUACCAGACUUACCCCACACAAGACAAGGGACGCCAUUUUUUCGACAAGGUUCCAGCAACCCCUUGGCACAAUAGUGUAGCCAAUACCAUCUCUGAGCCACCCCACAUCAUUCAGGCCAUAGACAUUGCUCUUCCUCUCAUUCACCCAAAAAAGAAAAGGAUCAAUACAAGCGCUGUGUCUUCUCUGCGUCCUGCACCAACACGCAGCCAUCACCAAACAGUCACAGUUCCUCUAUGCACCGUGAGCAUGCACCAGCCAUAGCAGCAUCGUCGUUCAGAACUCUAGCAACCGUGAGCAAGUUCAAGCCAGAAGCAACAGAGGGAACCCUUCUUCCCUUUCCUCCUCGCCUAAAGCAUCAACCACCGGCAUUAGCUACACCCUGCACUGCCAGCAACGACUUUCUCUUCUCAGUAGUGACAGCAUAGACUUCAGUAGCUUGAGCAGCAGCCAUCGUGAGCAAAAGCAGCUGUUUCUCCUCGACCACGGUUGCAGUCAUCCCUCCUCAGCACUAGCAACAACGAGACUAGUAGAGAGAGAGAGAAAGACGGGACAAAAAAAAAGGAAAAGACAGAGAGAACAAAAGGGGAGCGCAGGGGACGAAUACAAGGGACAGACAGAGAGAGACCAGAGAGAAGAAAGAUCAGAGGAAAAAAAAGAAGGAAGAAUAGAAACAGGGAGAGGGAAGCAUUGAUCGCCCAAGAGACCAUCACCUCCCGUUUUCGUCUCCAGCAGCACGCCCAGGCAAGUCUUCUUUCCCCUGCUUUUGCAAAUUCUAUUAACCCAUUCAUGUAGCAAGCCUGCACGCCUGCUGCUUUGCCCAGCCGGGAACCUGCUUGUCAUAACCAUCUUUUUAACAGCGCAGACACCACCUACUUGUUGGAGAAGAAAAAUAAAGCCAAAGAAAAAUCUCGCGUG
This 1033-nucleotide long non-coding RNA is filed under the name Populus trichocarpa (black cottonwood). RNAcentral describes it as "long non-coding RNA (PTRI_LNC000776)". Lineage: Eukaryota; Viridiplantae; Streptophyta; Magnoliopsida; Malpighiales; Salicaceae. The record is from RNAcentral.